Molecule: ribosomal RNA, 253 nt
Filed under: uncultured bacterium
Lineage: Bacteria
Description: partial 16S ribosomal RNA
Rfam family: Bacterial small subunit ribosomal RNA
Source: RNAcentral
UACAGAGGUGGCAAGCGUUGUUCGGAAUUACUGGGCGUAAAGGGCGCGUAGGCGGUUCGUUAAGUCCUGUGUGAAAUCCCCCGGCUCAACUGGGGAACUGCACAGGAAACUAGCGGGCUUGAGUUCGGGAGAGGGAAGCGGAAUUCCGGGUGUAGCGGUGAAAUGCGUAGAUAUUAGGAAGAACACCGGUGGCGAAGGCGGCCCACUGGUCCGGUACUGACGCUGAGGUGCGAAAGCGUGGGGAGCAAACAGG